CAGCCGCCACGGUAAUACGAAGGGUGCAAGCGUUACUCGGAAUUACUGGGCGUAAAGCGUGCGUAGGUGGUGGUUUAAGUCCGUUGUGAAAGCCCUGGCUCAACCUGGGAAUUGCAGUGGAUACUGGGUCACUAGGGUGUGGUAGAGGAUAGUGGAAUUUCCGGUGUAGCAGUGAAAUGCGUAGAGAUCGGAAGGAACAUCUGUGGCGAAGGCGACUAUCUGGGCCAACACUGACACUGAGGCACGAAAGCGUGGGGAGCAAACAGGAUUAGAUACCCGCGUAGUCCCUGUCUCUUAUACA
RNAcentral lists this ribosomal RNA (301 nucleotides) under uncultured bacterium. Its description in RNAcentral is "partial 16S ribosomal RNA". It matches the Rfam family "Bacterial small subunit ribosomal RNA", at positions 509 to 808 of the family's 1533-position model. The record is from RNAcentral.